GCUUUCGGGCCCUAUUCUCACCCUUUGUUUAUUAACUUUGUUGCUUUGGCAGGCCUCCGGCUUCGGCUGGGUCGUGUCUGCCAGAGGCCUAACUCUUGAAUCACUGCGGUCUGAGUACUAUAUAAUAGUUAAAACUUUCAACAACGGAUCUCUUGGUUCUGGCAUCGAUGAAGAACGCAGCGAAAUGCGAUAAUUAAUGUGAAUUGCAGACUCAGUGAAUCAUCGAAUCUUUGAACGCACAUUGCGCCCUCUGGUAUUCCGGGGGGCAUGCCUGUUCGAGCGUCAUUACAACCCUCAAGCUCUGCUUGGUGUUGGGCUCGCCCUGUAGGGCCUGCCUCAAAGUCAGUGGCAGCACCGUCUGACCCUAAGCGUAGUAAUACUCGCCGCUUUUGUGGUUAUGCGUGGGCUGCCAAUCAACCCCCACCAUCAAGGUUGACCUCGGAUCAGGUAGGGAUACCCGCUGAACUUAAGCAUAUCAAUAAGCGGAGGAAAAGAAACCAACAGGGAUUGCCUCAGUAACGGCGAGUGAAGCGGCAACAGCUCAAAUUUGAAAGCUGGCUCCUUUGGGGGCCCGCGUUGUAAUUUGUAGAGGAUGCUUCGGGUGCGGCGCCGGUCUAAGUUCUUUGGAACAAGACGUCAUAGAGGGUGAGAAUCCCGUAUGUGACUGGUUGCCUGUGCCCGUGUGAAGCUCCUUCGACGAGUCGAGUUGUUUGGGAAUGCAGCUCAAAAUGGGUGGUAAAUUUCAUCUAAAGCUAAAUAUUGGCCAGAGACCGAUAGCGCACAAGUAGAGUGAUCGAAAGAUGAAAAGCACUUUGGAAAGAGAGUUAAACAGUACGUGAAAUUGUUGAAAGGGAAGCGCUUGCAAUCAGACUUGCACGGCGUCGAUCAGCCUGGGUUCUCCCUGGUGCACUCGGCGCCGUUCAGGCCAGCAUCAGUUUUGACGGUGGGAUAAAGGCCUAGGGAACGUGGGUCGCCU
RNAcentral lists this ribosomal RNA (976 nucleotides) under Leotiomycetes sp. genotype 124. RNAcentral's name for it is "eukaryotic LSU rRNA". The stretch from base 434 to 976 matches the Rfam family "Eukaryotic large subunit ribosomal RNA", at positions 1 to 546 of the family's 3401-position model. The record is from RNAcentral. Lineage: Eukaryota; Fungi; Ascomycota; Leotiomycetes.